This 5011-nucleotide small RNA is filed under the name Rattus norvegicus (Norway rat). RNAcentral describes it as "uncharacterized LOC102556873". The record is from RNAcentral. Lineage: Eukaryota; Metazoa; Chordata; Mammalia; Rodentia; Muridae.
GGGUCUGCAUGACCCAGUUGGGAACAAGGAUCCCAUGUUGAUUGACUCCCCACCUUGACAAGUAUCUUGUUGUUGGGAUGACCAGCAUGUGACUAUUGGGACAAGAUAGAAGUAUUUACAAAGCCAACAGUUUUGACCAAUUUAUGCGAAUUAGGGCAGAUUUGAGAGUACACUUAAGAGUUUUAAACUUUGUUUGAAAAAACAAAAAACAGUGUUCUUGGAAUAGUUUCUUUGGAGUAGAGCGCAUAAGGCCAAAUUUUAUCUGAUUGUUGGUGAGCACCUGUGGGUUUUUGUGUUCCUUAUGUAGUAUCCCUUAGGUUUGGGUCGAACAAUGUAAACCUUAUCAUUUCCACUGUUUUUAACAUCUCAAAUGAUGUCCCACGUCCUAGGUGCCAAUCCACAAAUGCCCACUCCUACAUCUUCUCCCUCCUCCCUCCAUUUUGCCACUAUGAUGCUGCUCUAAACUCACCCAACUUUUCGAAACCCACCACUCCAGCCUCCUCCUACGUUCGAGCAUCACAUCUCCACAGGACCAAGGGCCUUCCAUCCCAUUGGUUUCAAAUAAUGCCAUCCUCUGAUAUAUAUUGGUUGGUGGUCUAUUUUCUGGGAAGCUCUGGGUCAUCAGCCAGCAUAUAUUGUUCUUCCUCUAUUGCAGGACCUCUCUGUCACAGGACAUCCACUGUUUAAGCACCACCACUACCUCAGGAAGUCCACUGUCUGUGUGUCAACUCCCACUGUUACAGGACCACAAGUGUCUCAGCACUUCAACUAUCACAGCACUUCUACUGUUCAGGAGCUCAAGAGUCUCAGCAUCUCAAGUGUCACAGGACCUCCUUUGUCCAAGAACUGGACUGUCCAAGCAAUACUGCUAUUGCGGGACCUCCACUGUCACAGGAUUUCCACUGUAGGAGCACUACAACUGUCUCAGGACACCCACUGUCCUAUAACCUCCACUAUCCCAGGAAUUCCACUGUCGUAGCACCACCCGUAGCAACUAAAGUGUUUCAGGACAUCAACUGAAGCAAGAUCUCCCAUGAUUCUGCAACUUCACUGCCCCAGGAUCUCUACAGUGACAGGAAUACUUCUGUAUCAGCAAUUCCAAUUUUGCAGGACCUCCACUGUAGCAGAACCUCAAUUGUGCAGCAGCUCCCCUGUAUGUAGAUUGACCUCCACGAUCUCAGUGCCUCCACUUUCAAAGGACCUUCACUGUCACAGAACCGGCGCUAUUUCAGUGCCUCCACUGUCGCAGGACCUACCUCUUCACAGGAUCUGCACUGUUGCAGCAACUGUAAUUUCAAUUUUUCAAAGUCAUUGCUGGUUAUUAGAUUUCAGGCUGAAUGAAAUGAGAUGUUACUUUUGAAAGCAUAAGAAUUUGUUCUAUACCUCUUGUGAUAAAUGCCGUGUUUGCUAGGACCAGUAAACUAUGGAAGACUUCUUCAGCUCAUACCACUCUCCACCUCACUUUGUGGAAGCUGGUGUUUUUAGAGUGUGAUAAACUUCAGGUGAAUGGAUGCAUUCAGCUGCACCACGCUCUAGAGUGGACUACACAGCAGUCAUAUUGAGUCCUUGCUGGGAAGAGAAGAAAUCCAGAAGAAGGAGAAGGCUUGGGUUGGGGGAAGAAUCAUAAAAUACUUAGAGGAUAUUAGAAGGUAAGAAUUAUGGGGAACUGGAAAACAGAGCCAAAGGAAGAAUGAGCACAGAGCAAACUGGGAAGGACAAAGUACAAAGGCACUUGGGUUUUGCCAUCUGCGUGUUCUCUGGACAAUCUCCCUGGGCCACAUUUCUGGGAGAAAACUCUUCCCCCACCCCCUUGUAAGGUUUCAUUCUUGAAGGAAAGCAGCAACACAACUUCAUCAGUGAAUUUCCCCAUUGGAAUUGGUUCAUCCUUUAAUGCUUCUGGGAAAUCCCGAGCUGGGGAAUGUCCUGCUCUCUGCUGAGAGACAGCAGGAAAGUAGGUCGUCCUCUGUUUUCUCGUUGCUACAGCUCUUCUAAGUAUGGCUGAUUGUUGAGUGAAGACACAGGAUACUUCUGGUGUGUAUGUAUGCUUUGUUCACUGUGGGUGUUGUUGGGAGUGUCCUGAAAAGAAGGGCAUGCCCAAUGGCACUUCUGCUUCCUCUUUGACUAGCCUUAUGAUCAUAGGGAGACACUAGGCCAUUGGAAGAUGAGGAGAGCAAUGUGUCUAAGUUGUGUUCACUUCUAUUCCUAUUUAGUCCUAGAGGGAAAUCAGCAAGGGUGUGAGGAAUGCUGCUGUGCACUGACUGUGUGGUGUGAGGAAUGCUGCUGUGCACUGACUGUGUGGUGUGAGGAAUGCUGCUGUGCACUGACUGUGUGGUGUGAGGAAUGCUGCUGUGCACUGACUGUGUGGUGUGAGGAAUGCUGCUGUGCACUGACUGUGUGCUGUGAGGAAUGCUGCUGUGCAUUGACGCUGCCUUUUUUCUUUUCUCCCUACACCUGCAUCCUUCUGGUGGCUCAGGUUGGACAACUAGGUGCCCAUGACCAACUCCUCAUUGUGGAUGGAUUUAGUCUGGUUGGACUUUCUCAGGAAAGGCAGCUGAACUCAUGACUAGUACCAGUUCCACGGUUACCCUGGAAGUUGCAAAUCAAGACAUCCUCUCUCACUGCCUGUCCACCUUUCUUACCAACCCAUUGUCCUCCAUGGUGCAGAGAGCCUCUUACCACUUCCAAGGAAGAACUUCAGGAAGAGUUUUACCUACUUGAGCUCCAUUGAGUAGAGGCUGGCAAGGGUCUCUAGUGUGACAGUAAUAUGUGGAUCCAGAGCUCCUCAUUGGAAUCUGUGACAUCCAGACAGGAGCACCUGAACCCUUCCUCCAAGUCAGUUACCCCUGCUUCCACUCUGACUAAGAGUGGUCCUGGCCAUUGGGAAACCCCAGCAGAGGUGCUGGCCACCACUGUUACUGUCUCCCAGCCCAUAUGAACAGACCUCCCUCCACCACCUCCUCUACCACAGGUCCACUACACCAGAUUUUGGCGGCAUUUUAGUGGAUUUGCCCCUCCCACCACCUUCUGCAAACAAGGCAGGAUCCCAGUCUGUUCAGGUGGCUGCUGGCUAGCAAAAGAGAGUGAGGAGCAGCAGCGGUGGUCUGAGAUAUAGAAGGCCUGCCUGGACAAGGAAGCAGAGAGGAAGCACAGGGAGCAGGAGAGGAAUGGGUGACAGAUGCACUCUCAUUCCCUGAACCUGCUUCCUUCUCUUCUUUGACCACACCGACCAAACCAGGAAAACCUUCCACACUGCAGAGGCCCAAGAAACAGUCAUUCUGGUGUUGUAGUCCCCGCAGCAGCCCCCCACUAUUGAGCACAGGGAUCUGCAGUUCAUAACUAUCAGUAAAGAGGAGUUGUCCUCUGGGGAGUCUGUCUCCAGACCCAUGGAAACAAGAUGCCAGGGAGAAGCUGGAGAAGCAACAGCAAAUGCACCUUGUGGAUAUGCUAAGCAAGGAGAUCCAUGAGCUGCAAAACAAGGGGGACGGUAGUGCAGAGGAGAGUGACUGCCUGUGGAAGAAUAUGCUGGAGUGGCAGUUCCAGAAGAGACUUCAGACCAUAUUUCUUGUGUUUCUCCCAGGUUCAUUUCAGAAUACUGUUCAAGAAGCUCAACAUUUGUCGUUUACAUAGUAGAAAUUUAUAACAACAAUGUUUUUGCCCUUCUUGCCUUAGACAGUUCUACAGUGGUGUCUAUGGUUAAGUGCCAGGCAGUGAGAACCCAGGAGUGAUAUUCAGAGGUACAAAGGAUGACCUGCAGGUGUGUGCAGCCGUGCCAGUCUUGUUCACCAUGGGAUGGAAGCGGUCCCUGACCUGUGAGCCUAGAGGUGACCAGGUGCUCCAUUCUGAGACUGAGAGAGGCAGGAUGCCCACUCAAGGGUCCAUAGCAGGGAAGGUUUUCAAGCUAUGUACAGUGCUGGAAAAGCCUACACAGGGCAUACAGUUAGCAGUGAUGUGUUUGCAGGGAGUCCAAGGAACCAGCUUUGUACUGAUGCAGGCCUGUCAUCAGUGCCUUGGCGUUUGUGGGACUCAUCCACAGAGGCAUGCAACUCAGAGAACGGUACCCCAACUUGGUGCACAGGAACUCUUUCAGGUGUCACUUGAUUGUCACAGGUUUCUGCUCGGUCAGCAAGGAAGGGAAGCCUAGCCCUGUGCCAGGAAUGACUGCAUAUGGUCAACACACACUACCCUGGAAGACCCGAGAGUUCAAGGACGGCCAACUUUCACUUAAGCAAACUUGUCCACAGACUGCGUGGGUCCCAUCAGCUGAGAGUAGCCUCCACAUUGCAGUGAUGUGCAAACUUCUGCCUUUCAGCCAUGAUGGACUUUAGGAUCUAACCUGAGGACCCUACACAAGGCACAGGUAGGUGAUGUGUAAAUGAGGCAUGUUACUGGGUCAGGUCUUCAGUGCAGUGUCUUAAGCUGUCAGGCUUUUGGGAGGGCAUAUGCUUCUCUAUUAAAUGAGCUGGCUUCUCUGAAGGCCUCAACUCUGCUGUGUCUGCCGCUCAUGCUCCCUCCUCCAAGAAUCUAACUGUCCCUAGCUCUCUGUGACUGGCUGGUCAGUCAGCCUUCAUGCCACUCCACAGCCACUCUACAACACAGAGCCCACACUGUCCUCUGCAGAAGUUUCACAGGGCUGCUGCUUUAGUCUCUCUGUUGCGCUAUGGGGGUCCAAAGUCAAGUUUCUUAGGUCCCUAGGUGUCCCUGAAAAGGCUCUAGAACAAGGAAGAGGUGAAGAAAUCAGGAAAUAAACUCCUGCAGUACUUCAUGACUACCACUGGAGGGCUCUACACCUUUCUGGUCCUAGUGUGCCACUCAGCAAGCCCUCUCACUCACUCUAAGGUUCUGAGCCUGAUGGAGAGGACUCCUGCUAAACCCAGUGUUCCCAAGAAACUGGCUGUACCGGCAGGGCUAACUGUAGAGGAUUCUCCACGACCCUGAGAACACAAUUUGGAAAUCUCAGGUAGGCAGGGUGUGUGGGGGAGCAACCAGGGCUGGAUGGAGACCUUACCCAGAA